GAGCCUCUUCACUGUGAAUUCAUCCAAACCCAGGUUGAAGAGAAUGUUAUUGUGGCCUGCACAGCUUCCUGUGGGAACGGAUUCCAGAAGCAAGAAAAUCCAGACUGUUUGCCUUUUUUUUUGAAUGUUACUGGCUGUGGCAGAAUAAAGAUGGCAAUCAAAAGUGGAAUCAGAAGAGAAAAUUAGCUUGAACAAGCGCCCGGUACUCCCUGCUGCCCUCCCCGCUCAGGUGACCAUGGAACCACAAGUAGACUGUCCUUGAACCCUAGUCUGGAUUGAGCGGAAGGGAGAGAGAACUGAGCAUCUUGCCAUGUCGCUGGCUCUGGGAGAUCCCCUUUCUGGCGAGAUAGGCCCCACCCUGGGUCCCGAGUUUGAAAUCUGGCUGGUUGAACC
This 393-nucleotide long non-coding RNA is filed under the name Ornithorhynchus anatinus (platypus). Its description in RNAcentral is "lncRNA (ENSOANG00000039564.1)". Lineage: Eukaryota; Metazoa; Chordata; Mammalia; Monotremata; Ornithorhynchidae. The record is from RNAcentral.